Molecule: small RNA, 99 nt
Filed under: bovine gut metagenome
Description: DUF3800-I RNA
Rfam family: DUF3800-I RNA
About the family: Actinobacteria, Firmicutes, Fusobacteria, Proteobacteria (1 example), Tenericutes (2 examples). Terminator (Clostridia)
Source: RNAcentral
UGCAGUUGGGGAACCAAGCUGUAUACUCGUGUAACCGAAUUAACGUUUAAGCGUCAUGCAAUGGCGUCGGCCACGAGGGCCACAUCUGUGGCUUUUUUU